CAGGCAGGACCCUUGGCCUUGGACCAGACCUAAGGGCCCUGGACACACCAACCAGCCCCUGAGCGCCCAGCAGAAGAUCCUGAGGUUCAGGGCAGACAGUAGAGGCUGCCAUCCCCAGGCAUGGCCAGCGCACGGUGCUAUGCUCAGCACGUGUGUAUCAUGAAUUCCAAGUCUUGCAAUUACCCUAAGGGGUAAGUUUCUUCUUAUUCCUGCUUUCGGAAGAGAAAGACCGAGACUAAGAGGUCUCAUCACCCACCGAGGUGCUCCCUGUGGCUUAGAAGGCGCAGAACUGGGAUCUAAGACCACUGCUCUCGCUCCAGAGCCCAUGCUGUGGACACGCAUGAACCCUUCCUCCUGACCCCAGCUGCCCGUCAGAGGCAUCAAAUAAGUAUUUGUGGAAUUAAACUCAU
Molecule: long non-coding RNA, 410 nt
Organism: Orcinus orca (killer whale)
Lineage: Eukaryota; Metazoa; Chordata; Mammalia; Artiodactyla; Delphinidae
Exons: 3
Source: RefSeq, a predicted model, not a curated record